CCUACGGGUGGCAGCAGUGAGGAAUAUUGGUCAAUGGGCGAGAGCCUGAACCAGCCAAGUCGCGUGAGGGAUUACUGCCCUAUGGGUUGUAAACCUCUUUUGUCGGGGAGCAAAAGCCGGACGUGUCCGGCUGUGAGAGUACCCGAAGAAAAAGCAUCGGCUAACUCCGUGCCAGCAGCCGCGGUAAUACGGAGGAUGCGAGCGUUAUCCGGAUUUAUUGGGUUUAAAGGGUGCGCAGGCGGAUUUUUAAGUCAGCGGUAAAAUCGUGGGGCUCAACCCCAUCCAGCCGUUGAAACUGGGGAUCUAGAGUGUGCGAGAGGUAUGCGGAAGGCGUGGUGUAGCGGUGAAAUGCAUAGAUAUCACGCAGAACCCCGAUUGCGAAGGCAGCAUACCGGUGCACAACUGACGCUCAGGCACGAAAGCGUGGGUAUCGAACAGGAUUAGAUACCCCUGUAGUC
This 458-nucleotide ribosomal RNA is filed under the name uncultured bacterium. RNAcentral's name for it is "partial 16S ribosomal RNA". It matches the Rfam family "Bacterial small subunit ribosomal RNA", at positions 338 to 795 of the family's 1533-position model. The record is from RNAcentral.